This 342-nucleotide non-coding RNA is filed under the name Drosophila virilis. Its description in RNAcentral is "Eukaryotic large subunit ribosomal RNA". It matches the Rfam family "Eukaryotic large subunit ribosomal RNA", at positions 2118 to 2591 of the family's 3401-position model. The record is from Rfam by way of RNAcentral. Lineage: Eukaryota; Metazoa; Arthropoda; Insecta; Diptera; Drosophilidae.
UAGGAACCGUGAGAUUAAGCCAUCGCGGCAGGUGCUCACGUUAAGCCCACUGACUUUCAUGUCCCUAUCUACUAUCUAGCGAAACCACAGCCAAGGGAACGGGCUUGGAAUAAUUAGCGGGGAAAGAAGACCCUUUUGAGCUUGACUCUAAUCUGGCAGUGUAAGGAGACAUAAGAGGUGUAGAAUAAGUGGGAGAUAUUAGACUUCGGUUUGGUAUCGACAAUGAAAUACCACUACUCUUAUUGUUUCCUUACUUACUUGAUUAAAUGGAACGUGUAUCAUUUCCUAGCCAUUAUACGGAUAUAAUUAUUAUGUCUUAUGGUAUUGGGUUUUGAUGCAAGC